Molecule: ribosomal RNA, 253 nt
Filed under: uncultured bacterium
Lineage: Bacteria
Description: partial 16S ribosomal RNA
Rfam family: Bacterial small subunit ribosomal RNA
Source: RNAcentral
UACGGAGGGUGCGAGCGUUGUCCGGAAUCAUUGGGCGUAAAGGGCGCGUAGGUGGCCCGGUCAGCGUGCGGUGAAAGCUCGGGGCUCAACCCCGAGUCGGCCGUGCGAACUGCUGGGCUGGAGCACUGUAGAGGCAGGCGGAAUUCCGGGUGUAGCGGUGGAAUGCGUAGAGAUCCGGAAGAACACCGGUGGCGAAGGAGGCCUGCUGGGCAGUGGCUGACACUGAGGCGCGACAGCGUGGGGAGCAAACAGG